CCUUGACCUCUGGGCUCCUUGGUGAUUCAUGAUAACUUCUCGAAUCGCAUGGCCUUGUGCCGGCGAUGGUUCAUUCAAAUUUCUUCCCUAUCAACUUUCGAUGUUUGGGUAGUGGCCAAACAUGGUUGCAACGGGUAACGGAGGGUUAGGGCUCGACCCCGGAGAAGGAGCCUGAGAAACGGCUACUACAUCCAAGGAAGGCAGCAGGCGCGCAAAUUACCCAAUCCCGACACGGGGAGGUAGUGACAAUAAAUACUGAUACAGGGCUCUUUUGGGUCUUGUAAUUGGAAUGAGUACAAUUUAAAUCCCUUAACGAGGAACAAUUGGAGGGCAAGUCUGGUGCCAGCAGCCGCGGUAAUUCCAGCUCCAAUAGCGUAUAUUAAAGUUGUUGUGGUUAAAAAGCUCGUAGUUGAACCUUGGGCCUGGCUGGCCGGUCCGCCUCACCGCGUGUACUGGUCCGGCCGGGCCUUUCCCUCUGUGGAACCCCAUGCCCUUCACUGGGUGUGGCAGGGAACCAGGGACUUUUACAA
RNAcentral lists this ribosomal RNA (530 nucleotides) under Myrothecium sp. FBV2. Its description in RNAcentral is "SSU rRNA". It matches the Rfam family "Eukaryotic small subunit ribosomal RNA", at positions 222 to 757 of the family's 1831-position model. The record is from RNAcentral. Lineage: Eukaryota; Fungi; Ascomycota; Sordariomycetes; Hypocreales; Stachybotryaceae.